Molecule: long non-coding RNA, 228 nt
Filed under: Lathyrus oleraceus (garden pea)
Lineage: Eukaryota; Viridiplantae; Streptophyta; Magnoliopsida; Fabales; Fabaceae
Description: Pisum sativum (pea) long non-coding RNA (PSAT_LNC003203)
Source: RNAcentral
CCAUGAUGGUGUUUGGCAUGAUGUAUGAUGACUAUUUGGACAUGAAUGAACUCUCACAAACCAAUUCCAAUCAUCAAAUCACUGAUUAAAUGGACAGUUGACCAACAGUUGACUUUUAGGGUUUCUGGCUGACUGAACCUCUUCUGGUGAAUUCCAAACCCUAAUUCCUUGAGAACUUGACUUCAAAUGAUGUCCCAAGUUGUAUGGACUCUUGAUUAUUGAUCAUGG